This 1045-nucleotide long non-coding RNA is filed under the name Pan troglodytes (chimpanzee). RNAcentral's name for it is "lincRNA". The record is from RNAcentral. Lineage: Eukaryota; Metazoa; Chordata; Mammalia; Primates; Hominidae.
AGAAAGGAGGUGGGCUUUUUUUUUUCACCCUGCUUUAAAAGCCCUUGGGCCCUUCCCAACUGGGUGCCAGCCAACUGUGGCUGCCUGGGACACUCCAUCUUAAGUCCCUGUGCCUCUGCUGUGUGUUACUGAGUGCCUAGGCCGUGCCAGCCUGUAUUCAUCUGUACUAUGACCUGAAGAGGCAGAGGCCAUCAUUGUUGGUCUGGUCUCCACCUGGGGAAACUGAGGUGUCUCUGUGGUGACGAGCAGGGCUUCAUCCAGUGCCUCUGUCCCCACCGAGGGGACUGUGGGAGCCAUGGAGGGUGUGUGAGCAACAGGUGAGACUGGAGCCAGCUGAAAACUGGGAGACCGACCCAGCCAACAAACAAUGUCGGUCUCUGUCCUGGCACCCGCAGGAAACAAGCUCCUACUUCCAGAAAAAGUGCUCCUGGGACUCCAGGAUACCAAAUCCUUCCCUGGCACCGGUUCCAAGAGGACCUGGUUCUUAGGCAGCAUCUGUGUCUCUGUUUUGUAAGACACACAGAGUAUCCUUAACCCACUGCAGAUAUUUCCCUGGGUCCAUGGUCAAUCAACACCACCUUUCAGUCUCCAGCCUCUUAACCAGCCCAGGGCUGAGUGUUGUUCAUAGUAUUAAUAUGUUUCUGGCUGGGCUCAGUGGCUCAUGCCUGUAAUCCCGGCACUAUGGGAGGCUGAGGCAGGCGGAGUUCAAGACCAGCCUGGCCAACAUAGUAAAACCCCGUCUCUACUAAAAAUACAAAAAUGAGCCGGGUGUGGUGGUGCGUGUCUAUAAUCCCAGCUACUCGGGAGGCUGAGGCAGGAGAAUUGCUUGAACCUGGGAGGUGGAGGCUACAGUGAGCUGAGAUCAUGCCACUGCACUCCAGCCUGGGCAAGAAAGUGAGACUCCAUCUCAAAACAAAGAAACAAACAAAGUAUUAAUAUGUUCCCCUUGAUCAGUGGGGUGGUUCACCCUUGUAAUCCCAGCACUUUGGGAGGCAGAGGCUGGAGGAUCGCUUGAGUCCAGGAGUUCGAGACCAGCCUGGGUGAA